GAGGGAGGAGCUGUGAACUGUCAUGGUUGCAUCCCACCAGACCACCGCGUGUUAAACGUUGCUGCCUUCAGAUUAAUAAACCAGUUUCCUACUUAAAAUGAAGAGAGGAUUCAGAAGUGUUUAGCAUGAAGUGA
Molecule: long non-coding RNA, 134 nt
Filed under: Struthio camelus australis
Lineage: Eukaryota; Metazoa; Chordata; Aves; Struthioniformes; Struthionidae
Description: lncRNA (ENSSCUG00000011146.1)
Source: RNAcentral